CCCUUAGAGUUUGAUCCUGGCUCAGAGUGAACGCUGGCGGCAGGCCUAACACAUGCAAGUCGAACGGCAGCACAGAGGAGCUUGCUCCUUGGGUGGCGAGUGGCGGACGGGUGAGGAAUACAUCGGAAUCUGCCUAUUUGUGGGGGAUAACGUAGGGAAACUUACGCUAAUACCGCAUACGACCUACGGGUGAAAGCGGAGGACCUUCGGGCUUCGCGCAGAUAGAUGAGCCGAUGUCGGAUUAGCUAGUUGGCGGGGUAAAGGCCCACCAAGGCGACGAUCCGUAGCUGGUCUGAGAGGAUGAUCAGCCACACUGGAACUGAGACACGGUCCAGACUCCUACGGGAGGCAGCAGUGGGGAAUAUUGGACAAUGGGCGCAAGCCUGAUCCAGCCAUGCCGCGUGGGUGAAGAAGGCCUUCGGGUUGUAAAGCCCUUUUGUUGGGAAAGAAAAGCAGUCGGUUAAUACCCGAUUGUUCUGACGGUACCCAAAGAAUAAGCACCGGCUAACUUCGUGCCAGCAGCCGCGGUAAUACGAAGGGUGCAAGCGUUACUCGGAAUUACUGGGCGUAAAGCGUGCGUAGGUGGUUUGUUAAGUCUGAUGUGAAAGCCCUGGGCUCAACCUGGGAAUUGCAUUGGAUACUGGCAGGCUAGAGUGCGGUAGAGGGUAGUGGAAUUCCCGGUGUAGCAGUGAAAUGCGUAGAGAUCGGGAGGAACAUCCGUGGCGAAGCGACUACCUGGACCAGCACUGACACUGAGCACGAAAGCGUGGGGAGCA
Molecule: ribosomal RNA, 776 nt
Filed under: uncultured bacterium
Lineage: Bacteria
Description: bacterial SSU rRNA
Rfam family: Bacterial small subunit ribosomal RNA
Source: RNAcentral